This 253-nucleotide ribosomal RNA is filed under the name uncultured bacterium. Its description in RNAcentral is "partial 16S ribosomal RNA". It matches the Rfam family "Bacterial small subunit ribosomal RNA", at positions 524 to 776 of the family's 1533-position model. The record is from RNAcentral.
UACGUAGGUGGCAAGCGUUGUCCGGAAUUAUUGGGCGUAAAGCGCGCGCAGGCGGUCCUUUAAGUCAGAUGUGAAAGUCCUGGGCUUAACCUGGGGACUGCAUUUGAUACUGAUUGGCUUGAAUGCAGGAGAGGAUAGCGGAAUUCCCAGUGUAGAGGUGAAAUUCGUAGAUAUUGGGAAGAACACCGGUGGCGAAGGCGGCUAUCUGGACUGUGAUUGACGCUGAGGCGCGAAAGCGUGGGGAGCAAACAGG